GAUGAACGCUGGCGGCGUGCCUAAUACAUGCAAGUCGAGCGAACAGACGAGGAGCUUGCUCCUCUGACGUUAGCGGCGGACGGGUGAGUAACACGUGGAUAACCUACCUAUAAGACUGGGAUAACUUCGGGAAACCGGAGCUAAUACCGGAUAAUAUAUUGAACCGCAUGGUUCAAUAGUGAAAGACGGUUUUGCUGUCACUUAUAGAUGGAUCCGCGCCGCAUUAGCUAGUUGGUAAGGUAACGGCUUACCAAGGCAACGAUGCGUAGCCGACCUGAGAGGGUGAUCGGCCACACUGGAACUGAGACACGGUCCAGACCCCUACGGGAGGCAGCAGUAGGGAAUCUUCCGCAAUGGGCGAAAGCCUGACGGAGCAACGCCGCGUGAGUGAUGAAGGUCUUCGGAUCGUAAAACUCUGUUAUUAGGGAAGAACAAAUGUGUAAGUAACUAUGCACGUCUGGACGGUACCUAAGCAGAAAGCCACGGCUAACUACGG
Molecule: ribosomal RNA, 496 nt
Filed under: uncultured bacterium
Lineage: Bacteria
Description: partial 16S ribosomal RNA
Rfam family: Bacterial small subunit ribosomal RNA
Source: RNAcentral